UCCCGAAGUUCCUUCGGCUCCGAGCCGACCGCCACUUCGUUGCAGCAGUAGUCGCUCGUGUCGUCCCCGUGUUGUGUUCGUCGUUGGACUUGUUUAUUUUUGUUGCGAUGGCUCUUGAUUUUAAGGCUUGGGGCGAUGUCAUCACCUUCCCUAACUCCAAGGGGAUGAAGGUGUUAUUGGAGGCUGUUGACUCUAUUAUUCUAUCCACCAAUCUGCUCUAAGUGAUCGAUGAUGCGUUUUGCGGGCUCCCCAACUGAUCCUUCCGUUUAACUUGUGACUGAAGAUUGCCUAUUAGUGAUCUGUGAUAUAAUCUGUGAUAAAUGUUUUCAUUUGA
RNAcentral lists this long non-coding RNA (334 nucleotides) under Thrips palmi. RNAcentral's name for it is "uncharacterized LOC117651709". Lineage: Eukaryota; Metazoa; Arthropoda; Insecta; Thysanoptera; Thripidae. The record is from RNAcentral.